UAACCAAUUUGUAGUCCUCCAGUAUUCCAGGAGGCAAAGCUCCCAGGUGGACCAGUUAUCAAGGUCUCUACAGCCCUGGACUGACAGCUGGAAAUGGGCAGCAGGAGGUGUUUAUCAGCUUCUUCCACAUGGGCUUCCUGAACUGUAUUGGGUCCAUGGGCUGCACCCACAUCCCCAUCCUCUGCUUACCCAAGGUGCCCAGGAGUUCAUCAACCACAAGGUCCUGAAGAAAGAGGUGAAGAAAUAAAAAUGGAUCCCCCUGAAGGAGAGAGCAUGUAAAAAUAAAUAUGAAAAACCAGAGGAUGGGAGACGAGCAGGAUGCUCCUUUAUGAAAUCCUGCUGGGCUAUGACUGAUACUAAACCACCUGAAUGCUGGCAAUUGCUGUGGGAUGACGGAUUGUAUUUUUCAGAUUAGACUUGACAUGAAUGAUGUUCCUUUUCCAGAGAUGCAUUUAAAAUCUUGGACACACCAUGGGUUCCCCAUACUGCUCAGCUGUGCAAAUGAAAAGAGUUUUAGGCAUGCUACAAUAUGUGGGACAAUUUUGAGCGAAGGAAGCAAACUGUAGGAUGCUUUAUGUUAUAUAUUUGUGUCCUUUUCAAAUGUUUCUUCAAUAGGUUACACCACCCACUGGGCCGCUUGGCUGUCUGCCAUCUUCCCUGUUGCCCUGCACUACUGUAUUAAGUCAUGUUGUUUUGUGUGAUCAGAUGGUUGAACCUAACAAUUUAACACUUGGAUUCUUUCCUCUUCAAAUGUUUAGAUUCAUCUUCAGAAAUUAUAUACAUUUGAGUUAUUUUUCUCUGCUUUAUCACACAUACAAUGUAGAAAUUAUGCUGGAAAACUGAUUCUAAACAACUUGAGCCCAUAAUUCUUAGCUACUUUUCAAAACUGUUUAUUACGAGAGAGAGGUGGGAGUAGACGAAGGGAGGGGGUGGACUCUGAAAACAUCUGUGGACCUGAUUCUUUGCAUGCAGCUCACACAAGCAGCAGCAGCCUGGACAAAACUAAGGGGGACAUCAGGUAGCAGGAGUGAGCUCUAGAACUGCCCUGCUACACCUCCUGCUGGGUGACCUUGGACAAGUCAUUUUCUGGGCUUGACCUGACUGAUUGCUAAGUAAUCUCACCCAGAUCCAGCAAAGCAUAUACUUCUCUAAGAAUAUGGUAGAAGUGAAAUUAAAUGACUUAAGUAAAAAUA
This is a long non-coding RNA of Alligator mississippiensis (American alligator), 1193 nucleotides long. RefSeq lists it as uncharacterized. The record is from RefSeq and is a predicted model, not a curated record. The transcript has 5 exons. Lineage: Eukaryota; Metazoa; Chordata; Crocodylia; Alligatoridae.